Molecule: long non-coding RNA, 515 nt
Filed under: Trifolium pratense (red clover)
Lineage: Eukaryota; Viridiplantae; Streptophyta; Magnoliopsida; Fabales; Fabaceae
Description: long non-coding RNA (TPRA_LNC001447)
Source: RNAcentral
AGUGAGUUUCUGGCUCCAGCUAGAGAAAGCCAGAAGAGCUGCGAGGUGACUCAGAGGACACGUGUUAGCAAACCCAGCUAUGAAGUAAGGUAGCUGGCUGAGCCAGCUAUAGCUGGCUGGGCCAACUUAAAAAUCUAGUUCACUAUAAAAUGACACCAAAAGCAGAAAAAUAGGGAAAACACACACACGCAAGACUUCAAGAAACAGGGGAACAAGGAGCUGAACGCGAAAGGCAGAGAGUGUGAGCACGAAACGACGGAGGAAACGAUGUGGAUGCACACCAACUGUUUGAGGAAUCAACCGGUGUUGUUAUUUCAUCUCUUUUCUUCUCACUUGUGUAAAGCUACCAUGGUAAUGAGUAGUUAAAGACACUGUGGUUGGGAUUAGAUGUAAUUAACUUUAUUAAUAUGUAUUUGUUUUGAUCAUGGCGUUAUAUAAGGUUUUAGUUGUCUCUCAAUAUUGAUGUUAUCCUUGUGUUUAUUGUUUUAAUCUUUAGAUUUGAAGUGUUAUAGGGA